AUCCCCACCAAAGUCAAUUUUAUUUUGGUCAAGAAUUCACAAUCGCUUAUAUAUCCUUUAUCUAAGGACAAUAUAUUAAAUGGGUUUUUGGAGCUGGGAGAUGGAAUAGGAACUUGUUCCAUCCAAUCCAUGCCUUAACCUGGUACUGCAGUACCACCAGGAAUGGUGCACCACUU
Small nuclear RNA from Heterocephalus glaber (naked mole-rat), 176 nucleotides. Its record names the gene U2. It matches the Rfam family "U2 spliceosomal RNA". Rfam says of the family: U2 is a small nuclear RNA (snRNA) component of the spliceosome (involved in pre-mRNA splicing). Complementary binding between U2 snRNA (in an area lying towards the 5' end but 3' to hairpin I) and the branchpoint sequence (BPS) of the intron results the bulging out of an unpaired adenosine, on the BPS, which initiates a nucleophilic attack at the intronic 5' splice site, thus starting the first of two transesterification reactions that mediate splicing. The record is from Ensembl. Lineage: Eukaryota; Metazoa; Chordata; Mammalia; Rodentia; Bathyergidae.